RNAcentral lists this ribosomal RNA (229 nucleotides) under uncultured bacterium. Its description in RNAcentral is "partial 16S ribosomal RNA". It matches the Rfam family "Bacterial small subunit ribosomal RNA", at positions 104 to 334 of the family's 1533-position model. The record is from RNAcentral.
CGGGGUGAGUAAUGUCUGGGAAACUGCCUGAUGGAGGGGGGUAACUACUGGAAACGGUAGCUAAUACCGCAUAACGUCGCAAGACCAAAGAGGGGGACCUUCGGGCCUCUUGCCAUCGGAUGUGCCCAGAUGGGAUUAGCUAGUAGGUGGGGUAACGGCUCACCUAUGCGACGAUCCCUAGCUGGUCUGAGAGGAUGACCAGCCACACUGGAACUGAGACACGGUCCAG